This 229-nucleotide long non-coding RNA is filed under the name Lathyrus oleraceus (garden pea). Its description in RNAcentral is "Pisum sativum (pea) long non-coding RNA (PSAT_LNC017188)". The record is from RNAcentral. Lineage: Eukaryota; Viridiplantae; Streptophyta; Magnoliopsida; Fabales; Fabaceae.
AUUAUUCCAAAAAUACAAUAAAAACAUCAACACCAUUAUAUUGGGAUAGAUUGCAAGAGCAGGAAAAACAUUUUGUUCAAGAUAGAAGAAAAUUGAAGAUUUUUCUGUCUUACAAUCCAUCAUAAAGUAUGACGCGUACAAGUUUGGAGCGGCUACAUAUAAAUAAGGUUUAGGAUAAAGUCUGAUUAAGAAGUACUUUUACAGUAACAUCUGAUUAUCUAAAAAUAAC